This is a long non-coding RNA of Lycium barbarum (goji berry), 698 nucleotides long. RefSeq lists it as uncharacterized. The transcript has 3 exons. NCBI's taxonomy places the organism in Eukaryota, Viridiplantae, Streptophyta, Magnoliopsida, Solanales, Solanaceae. The record is from RefSeq and is a predicted model, not a curated record.
UUUCCAGAAAAAUUCAGCCCCUCUCCCUUCCUUUCUACAUAAUUAAAUUGAGGGAUUUCAUGGCAAAUUGAAGGAAAAAGAUGGAGGUCACAAUAGCCAUGGCAACUCACGGCCAUGGCUGCACUUGAAGAGGUCACAUGCUUCCUUUAAGAGUUUUGCUUCUAAGAUUUUGGAGAGUUUGGGACUUGAAUUUGGAGUAGCGUAAGAAGCGGAAAAGGUACUCCCAGGUAAGUUGAAGACAGUAUAGAAGAUGUUCCAGUGCAGAUGGCAAGCUCCAUUUGUUCCCGUAGUGCUGCCGAGUCAGAGUUGGUAUGUUAUGCUUUCUGGAUUACGUUAGAGACUUUGCAGACAGCGUCGUGGGUAUUGGUUGUCAGUCUGUAAGUGGCUCCGUCAGCCGAAAUGUCGGUCUGUGUUAUGUACUGAAUUUUGUAUGAUUAUAGAUUUGUUAUGCUUGGAAGCUACGUGGAAGAAUAUUUCUGAAAAAAAAUUUACGAUGUAUUUCAUCUCAUUUGAUUUGAAAAGUUUGACGUGAUUUUAUGUGCAGCAAGAGUCUGAGGGUUCGCUCGGCCCUAGGUAAGGGUCGGGUGCCCAUCACACCCUAGCGGAAUUAGGGUGUGACAACAACUGGUGCAAUCAUUCUCUUAUAUUUCUAUAAUGACGCUAAAUUAAGAGUAUCCAACAAUCACAUAUGUAAUGAA